AUGAUUCAGCACGCUGAGAAAGCCGAGGCGGCUCUGGAAGAGGUUACCACUGAACUCACCGGCCUAAAGAACCGUGUGUCUCAGAUGGUUUCUGCAAUCUUCGGUCCCUGGGGUAGAAAUCUGAGCAAGGAUACACUGGUGAAGCUCAAGGAGGUUUACAUGCUUGUUGAGCAAUUAUACACUGGAGCUCAGCGGACUCUUGCCACUAUCUCCCCGGCGAAUGAAGGACCAAAUUUGUUAAGUGAUGUCUUGAAGAAACAGUCCAUCUUGCCCACCAGGUUCCACGAAAUCAAGCGAUCUUGUGCUAGAGCCGGAGCGGUGACAGCCUUGAGCCGUGCAAAAGCCUGGGUACCGGAAUUAGACCCGGCAGACGUAGCGAGCGGGUAUCCUAGUCUCAAGGAAGAUGGAACGCCUUUUGACCAACAAGACUUUGCUGCCUGCCUCAAAGAGAUCCGUCCUCAUGCUACAAUCAUUGCCGAAGAGACCAACUCACCAAAUAUCAGUCGGGAUACGAUGCAGAUAUCCAGAAGAUGCCGACUCCUUCAUAUAAAGUGA
Molecule: ribosomal RNA, 555 nt
Filed under: Triticum aestivum (bread wheat)
Lineage: Eukaryota; Viridiplantae; Streptophyta; Magnoliopsida; Poales; Poaceae
Description: partial small subunit ribosomal RNA
Source: RNAcentral